CCUACGGGCGGCUGCAGUGAGGAAUAUUGGUCAAUGGGCGAGAGCCUGAACCAGCCAAGUCGCGUGAAGGAUGACGGCCCUACGGGUUGUAAACUUCUUUUGUCAGGGAGCAAUUGAGUCCACGUGUGGGCUUAGCGAGAGUACCUGAAGAAAAAGCAUCGGCUAACUCCGUGCCAGCAGCCGCGGUAAUACGGAGGGGGCAAGCGUUAUCCGGAUUCACUGGGUGUAAAGGGAGCGUAGACGGCCAUGCAAGCCAGGGGUGAAAGCCCGGGGCCCAACCCCGGGACUGCCCUUGGAACUGCAUGGCUGGAGUGCGGGAGGGGCAGGCGGAAUUCCUGGUGUAGCGGUGAAAUGCGUAGAUAUCAGGAGGAACACCGGCGGCGAAGGCGGCCUGCUGGACCGCGACUGACGUUGAGGCUCGAAAGCGUGGGGAGCGAACAGGAUUAGAUACCCUAGUAGUC
This 461-nucleotide ribosomal RNA is filed under the name uncultured bacterium. RNAcentral's name for it is "partial 16S ribosomal RNA". It matches the Rfam family "Bacterial small subunit ribosomal RNA", at positions 338 to 795 of the family's 1533-position model. The record is from RNAcentral.